Molecule: small RNA, 70 nt
Filed under: Salix viminalis (osier)
Lineage: Eukaryota; Viridiplantae; Streptophyta; Magnoliopsida; Malpighiales; Salicaceae
Source: RNAcentral
CAGGAUUGUGAUGAUAAGAUAUCCUAUUAUGAUUUGAUAGAUUGUGAGAUAACACAGCGUAAUCUUCCUG